UACGUAGGUGGCGAGCGUUGUCCGGAAUUACUGGGUGUAAAGCGCGUGUAGGCGGGAGGCCAAGUCUGCGGUGAAAUCGCUCGGCUCAACUGGGCGGGGUCCGUGGAAACUGGUCACCUGGAGGACGGUAGAGGCGAGUGGAAUUCCCGGUGUAGUGGUGAAAUGCGUAGAUAUCGAGAGGAACACCAGUGGCGAAGGCGAGUCCCUGGACAACACCUGACACUGAGGCACGAAAGCUAGGGGAGCAAACAGG
This 253-nucleotide ribosomal RNA is filed under the name uncultured bacterium. RNAcentral's name for it is "partial 16S ribosomal RNA". It matches the Rfam family "Bacterial small subunit ribosomal RNA", at positions 524 to 776 of the family's 1533-position model. The record is from RNAcentral.